RNAcentral lists this ribosomal RNA (449 nucleotides) under uncultured bacterium. RNAcentral's name for it is "SSU rRNA". It matches the Rfam family "Bacterial small subunit ribosomal RNA", at positions 26 to 518 of the family's 1533-position model. The record is from RNAcentral.
AGGAUGAACGCUGGCGGUCUGCUUAACACAUGCAAGUCGAACGGAGUAGCAAUACUUAGUGGCGGACGGGUGAGUAACGCGUGAGAAUCUACCUUCAGGACGGAGACAACAGUUGGAAACGACUGCUAACCCCCGAUGUACUGAAAAGGCAAAUAUUUAUAGCCUGAAGAAGAGCUCGCGUCCGAUUAGCUAGUUGGAGAGGUAAAAGCUCACCAAGGCGACGAUCGGUAGCUGGUCUGAGAGGACGAUCAGCCACACUGGGACUGAGACACGGCCCAGACUCCUACGGGAGGCAGCAGUGGGGAAUUUUCCGCAAUGGGCGAAAGCCUGACGGAGCAAGACCGCGUGGGGGAAGAAGGCUCUUGGGUUGUAAACCCCCUUUUCUCUGGGAAGAACACAAUGACGGUACCAGAGGAAUCAGCAUCGGCUAACUCCGUGCCAGCAGCCGC